CACUAAGAUUCGAAAAAGAUCGUGCCGCACGCGACUGAAAAUUACGUUCGUUGUGAUAAACAAUCGUCGAUCAUACAUGCUUCGCUGUGUGUUAGAUGCUUCGAGUUGGUUUUAGGUUAAGUAUUCUAAUACUUUCUGGGUGGGACAUUUGCCGUGGCUGUGACCAUGUUCCAUGUUCUAUUCAUAAGUUUUCCAACUGUGUAUCAUACGAACCAGCAGAAAUCGGGAUUACAAUUAUUUUCUGACCAUUCACUUCACAAUGUGUUAACAUAUUGAACGCCACGUGAGUUACAUUUAACUCGCACCGUGUUUGGCCAAGAGGCUGUAUGAGUUGAG
RNAcentral lists this unclassified non-coding RNA (336 nucleotides) under Bombus terrestris (buff-tailed bumblebee). RNAcentral's name for it is "misc RNA ENSBTSG00005027763.1". Lineage: Eukaryota; Metazoa; Arthropoda; Insecta; Hymenoptera; Apidae. The record is from RNAcentral.